UGUGUCUCCCUCGGUCUCAAAAAUAAAUAAAAACAUUAAAAAAUUUUUGUUUUAAAUAAAUAAAUAAAAAUAACAAUAAAUUCUAGUUCCUCGAAAGUAACUUCCAGUGAAGUUUAAAACAUUUCCACACACUCCAAAAGAUAAGACAGUUUAUCCUUUACCUUAUGUAGAACUUCAAACACCGGGUGUCCGGCUUAAGGCAGCUCCCAGUGAGUGUGGCUUCCUGCCCACCAGUCGCCUCCUGAAAGUUCACGCGAGGACAGGAGGAGGAAGCCCCGAGGCCACCGUGGACUCAUCUCUGGCUACACUGCAGGCUCAUGUCUAAGUACCUCAAAUGUAUCACCUAAGUUAAUCCUCCCCACAAUCCCAGGAGGUUGUUAUCACCCCUGUUUCACAGAUGGGGAGACCAAGGCUCAGAGUCAUGAGGUCAUUUGCCCAAGGUCACUCGCUUGUGCGUGGAAGAGCCCACAUUGGACUGGAACGGUGAGUGCAGAAGCAGCCCUCUGACACGCGAGGCCGCGGAGCUCCCCGGGGCUGCGGAGAACACAUACGUGAUCAGACCUGCGCGUCUGCCCCACCUUCCUUAUUCCCAGUUCUGAGACCACCGUUUCCCAGGCUCACAGACCCCGUCAUCCCCGGGCAGACCCCCCAAGUCUGGGCGCUCCCUCUGUGUUUCACGCUCAGACCGUUCUCUGACCUCCCGUCUGCCCCCUCGCCAUAUUAAUCUGCUAGAACACCGAGGGGACAAUCUCACAUCCUACUCAAAAACGUUCAUUCCUUUCCUACAGAGUGGAGUUCAGGCCCGGCACUCAGGAUUCUGCCACAGACCAGCUCCCCCCUGUUGCCUCAGUAUCCCCUGGGCUCCCCAGCACUCCGGUUCCCCUCUCUUGACGGCAGGUUUCCUCUGGGAGCGGCUCGCCCCGGUACUCCCGCCUGCCACAUACAGGCGACCUUGGCUCUGUGACCUGAGGUGACUCCCAUCAACUUCUCUGCGCCUCUGUGAUUUCACCUGUGAAAAGGAGGGAUUGCCCUCUGCUCCGCUUGCCUCCUGGGCCGUCCGGAUCCAGGGGGACCUCACAUGUCGAAGAAAUAGAACAGGAAUAGCAGAAGCCUGGCCGGACGCCUCAGCCCCUGUUCCUGCUUUCAAGGCGAAUGCAUUUUCUUUGCAUACGUGUGCAUGAAGGAGAAUGAAAUAGUACAAAGUAUCAAGCAAACUCAUAAUGGGCUACCUUGGGAGGGGGCAGGGGCGGGAGGAACCAGGUUUGAGGGUGGGGCAGUUCAUUUCCCUAGAAUACAUAUUCAUAUCUUUGCAGUUAUUUUAGUCUUUUUCAAAGAUAAUUGCACAGCAUUGAAUUGCACUGCCGGAUCCGUGAGGCAGACACAGUCCUUCAGGAGGAAGGAGAGGGGCUACAGUGGUCCGAAGGAUUUUACCAACUGGGAAACUUGCCUGUGGCGAGGAGGACCGAUUUGGAUAAAUGGAAGGGAGCAAAGGCAUUCUCCCAGGGGACCAGCAUGAGCAAAGGGGAGCCAACUAAGAGCCACCCCAAAUGUGGGCUUUGGCUGACGGAGGAAGCAGUGGGGGAGCUGCACCUGUGCAGGGGGCAAAUCUGACCUCUCCCCACCCAGACCAAGGAGUGUGGCAGGAGAUGCACUUGGAGCUCAAGACCACCAGCUUCCCACCCUCUCUGGACGCCGCUCCCUCCCAAACUGCCCGGGGACAGACGGGGCUGAAGCCUGCCGUUCUGGGCUAGAGCCCCGUCCAGGAGCCCCAAGACUGGCCAUGGGAUUGGUGGGCGAGUCCCUGACCCCUCCCAGCCCUGGGCCCCCAUCCCUGAAACGAAGGGACGGGGCCCCUGGCACCUUGCAGCGGUGGCCAGGAGGGUGAAGUGAGACCAGGGCUCAGUCUGGGCACCGCUGUCCGUCCAGGUCGUUUGCUCACAGCACGAAUGAGAAAGUUGGAUGCGGCAGUGGUCAUGAGAGCAGGCUCCUAGUGACAAAGAAUGCUUCCUCUGCGAGGCCCCUCGCAAGCAGCCUCUCCUGGGUCUCCUGGACUCCCAGCCCCACCAGGCCGCGUGUGAACCCCAGUGGGGGAGACAAGAGCCAACCCACUGCCGAAGCUGUCCUGGGAGGCACCCCACGCAGGCUGUGGGAAAUGGCGCCCAUUUCCAGGGGGUCCACCCGACAGACUUACCCGCAAACUUGGGGACCCACGUGUGUGAGAUGGAGGCCUCGCGCCAACAAGGUUCCCACAGAGACCGGCCUCUUCUAGGAGCCGUCUGACGCUGCCUUUCCUCCCUGACCAGGCGAUGAUUCCACUCGCUCUUCCCGAGGCCUCAGCCUUCAGCCCGACCGAAUCACUCAGGGGAGGUCAGAGCUCAUAAUUAUGUCAUUAAUCCUCAUGUGGCAACACACUGGAGGCUGUUUUCUUAGCACGAGGCAGGGCCUUAUGGGGAGCUUCUCUCUCUGCGGCCUUGCCCUGUCUGGGUCCGCAGCCCGGGAGCGGGGAACCUCCUUCCACAGAGCCCAGAGGUGUGGAAAUGUGAUGCUGGGUCUCCCGCACCCAAGAACCUGCACCCCGCUGUGUGUUGUCAGUCUCCUGGGGCUGCUGUAAUAAAUUACCAUAAACUUGGUGGCUUAAAACAACAGAAAUUUAUUUUCUCACUGUCCUGGAAGCCAGGCCAAACAUCAAGGGCCUACUGAGAUGAUCCAAGAUGAUCUCAUCUCAAAAUGCUUAAUAACAUCUGUAGAGACCCCUUUUCCAAAUAAGGUCACAUUCACAUGUUCCCAGUGGACAAAUAUUUUGGGAGGGGCCACCAUUCAGCCCCUACACUCGAGAAGUUGCCUCCACCAGUGCCAAGUAACCGCAUAGACACAUCCCUCCUUGCUAGAUGCCUCUGUCGUCUGCCCUUUCCUCUCCAUCCCAACAGCUACUAUCCUAUUCAGACUCUCCCUUCUAUUGCUGGGACUGGUGCAGUAGACUUCUAACCUGCUCCAUUUUCAUCUCUCAUUCUUUUUACUGCUCCAGAGGGAUGUUUCUAACCACCCAAUUACCCUAUAUCGUUCCUGCUUCACACACUUUAAAAGCGCGAGUCCAAACUCCCAGGUGUGGUGUUGGAGGCCCUGACCGGCCGCUCAUCUGCUGGUGCCUUCCACCAGAGCCACCAACACUGUAAGACCUUUAAACAGACCGUCCUCUCACCUUGCUUACGCUCCUUGUUCAUUUCCCAGUCUACCCACCAGAACUUCUGGGAGGUCUUCCCCAGUCCUGCCACGCGUCCCGAGCACCACCGUCGGCCCCGGCUCCUGUCACUCAUCAGCAUUGUUCGCCGAUAUGCCCAGGGUCUUCUUCAAUAGAGCUGGAGCUCCUUGGGGGCCGGGAUGGCACAUUCUUUACUUUUGUAAAGAGCUCGGCACAUAGCACGUGCUGCGUGAGGUUCACGGUGUAAGUGGCCUCGUAAUGGCAAAUCGCGCAGAAGCAGAGACCCUGCUUAACUCAUUGGCUUGACCCUGACAGCAUCUUCCCCACCCCUCGUAUCCUAAAGCUGUGGGAACUGAGCUCCUACAAUGCACAGCGGAGUAUGCUUGAAAUAAGCAAAGCCUGCCUUGGCCACUAACGCUCUGUACAACUUGGGCAGGUCCCUGGGUUUUUUGGAGUCUCUAUUUCCUCAUCUGAAAACGGACACUGAUUUUGUCGCCCUCAGAACAGUAGUCGUGUAAACACAGAGUCACGACUUGGCCCAGAAAUUCUGCUCCUAGGUAUACGCCCCAGAGAAAUGUGUCCACAAAAGAACCGGUACAUGAAUCGUCAUAGCAUCGUUAUUCAUCAUCGGCAAGAGGCGGAAACAACCCAAGCGCCCAUCGGUGGAUGAACAGAUAAACAAGAUAUAGCGUAUCCAGACACCAGAAUAUUGCUCAGCAGUGGAACGGAAUGAAGUACUGACAUGUGCUACAAUGCGGAUGAACCCGGAAAACGUGAUGCUGAGUAAAAGAAACCAGCCACGAAAAAUCACGUAUUAUGUUUCCAUUUCUAUGACAUGUCCAGAAGAGGCAAGUCUAUAGAGACAGAAAGCAGGACUUGUUACUAAAGAGGAGAAGCAGAGUCUGUUUACCCGGCCCUGGAAUCUAGGCGGGCUCUCACACUGGCUUUGGACAUCGAACGCGGCAGAAGUGACAUUGGCAUCCAGUGCCAGACUUGUGAGCAAGGCCAUCUUGGACAAUAGGCCCCCCACGGAGCCAUCACCUGACUGCCGUCACUGAGGGAGCCCCAGAAACCACUAGAAGAACCGCCACCUAAUCCCAGCCCCAACUCUGACCCUGAGUCACGCGCUAAUAAAUAUUUGUUGUUUUGAGCCACUAAGUUUUGCAGUGGUAUCUUAUGCAGUGGUAACCAACUGACUGACACAGGGACAGACGUUAAUAGAGCCACUUUUUUGUGCCCUUCCCUGCUUUUCCUUUUUUUCAAAAUUUUGUUUGUUUUCUUUAUUUCGAGACAGAGACGGUGCAAGCAGGGGAGGGGC
Molecule: long non-coding RNA, 4517 nt
Organism: Herpailurus yagouaroundi (jaguarundi)
Lineage: Eukaryota; Metazoa; Chordata; Mammalia; Carnivora; Felidae
Exons: 6
Source: RefSeq, a predicted model, not a curated record